This 501-nucleotide ribosomal RNA is filed under the name uncultured bacterium. RNAcentral describes it as "partial 16S ribosomal RNA". It matches the Rfam family "Bacterial small subunit ribosomal RNA", at positions 30 to 523 of the family's 1533-position model. The record is from RNAcentral.
AUUGAACGCUGGCGGCAGGCUUAACACAUGCAAGUCGAGCGGGGGAAGGUAGCUUGCUACCGGACCUAGCGGCGGACGGGUGAGUAAUGCUUAGGAAUCUGCCUAUUAGUGGGGGACAACAUCUCGAAAGGGAUGCUAAUACCGCAUACGUCCUACGGGAGAAAGCAGGGGAUCUUUGGACCUUGCGCUAAUAGAUGAGCCUAAGUCGGAUUAGCUAGUUGGUGGGGUAAAGGCCUACCAAGGCGACGAUCUGUAGCGGGUCUGAGAGGAUGAUCCGCCACACUGGGACUGAGACACGGCCCAGACUCCUACGGGAGGCAGCAGAGGGGAAUAUUGGACAAUGGGGGGAACCCUGAUCCAGCCAUGCCGCGUGUGUGAAGAAGGCCUUAUGGUUGUAAAGCACUUUAAGCGAGGAGGAGGCUACUUUAGUUAAUACCUAGAGAUAGUGGACGUUACUCGCAGAAUAAGCACCGGCUAACUCUGUGCCAGCCGCCGCGGUAA